This 520-nucleotide ribosomal RNA is filed under the name uncultured bacterium. RNAcentral describes it as "bacterial SSU rRNA". It matches the Rfam family "Bacterial small subunit ribosomal RNA", at positions 8 to 518 of the family's 1533-position model. The record is from RNAcentral.
AGAGUUGAUCAUGGCUCAGGAUGAACGCUAGCGACAGGCUUAACACAUGCAAGUCGAGGGGCAGCACGGGAGUAGCAAUACAACGUGGUGGCGACCGGCGCACGGGUGAGUAACGCGUAUGCAACCUACCUAUCAGGAGGGGAAUAACCCGGCGAAAGUCGGACUAAUACCGCAUAAAACAGGGGCACCGCAUGGUGAUAUUUGUUAAAGAGAUUCGCUGAUAGAUGGGCAUGCGUUCCAUUAGGUAGUUGGUGGGGUAACGGCUCACCAAGCCGACGAUGGAUAGGGGAACUGAGAGGUUGGUCCCCCACACUGGUACUGAGACACGGACCAGACUCCUACGGGAGGCAGCAGUGAGGAAUAUUGGUCAAUGGGCGGGAGCCUGAACCAGCCAAGUCGCGUGAAGGAAGAAGGAUCUAUGGUUCGUAAACUUCUUUUGCAGGGGAAUAAAGUGCAGGACGUGUCCUGUUUCGUAUGUACCCUGAGAAUAAGGAUCGGCUAACUCCGUGCCAGCCGCUGC